RNAcentral lists this ribosomal RNA (389 nucleotides) under uncultured Bacillota bacterium. RNAcentral's name for it is "bacterial SSU rRNA". It matches the Rfam family "Bacterial small subunit ribosomal RNA", at positions 993 to 1382 of the family's 1533-position model. The record is from RNAcentral. Lineage: Bacteria; Bacillati; Bacillota.
AAUAGGUCUAGAGAUAGAUCAGGCCUUCGGGACAGAAGAGACAGGUGGUGCAUGGUUGUCGUCAGCUCGUGUCGUGAGAUGUUGGGUUAAAGUCCCGCAACGAGCGCAACCCUUAUCAUUAGUUGCUAACAUUCAGUUGAGAACUCUAAUGAGACUGCCAGUGAUAAACUGGAGGAAGGUGGGGAUGACGUUAAAUCAUCAUGCCCCCUUAUGACCUGGGCUACACACGUGCUACAAUGGCCGGUACAAAGAGUUGCGAAACUGUGAAGUUAAGCUAAUCUCAUAAAGCCGGUCUCAGUUCGGAUUGUAGUCUGCAACUCGACUACAUGAAGUCGGAAUCGCUAGUAAUCGCGAAUCAGAAUGUCGCGGUGAAUACGUUCUCGAGUCUU